AUACGAAGGGUGCAAGCGUUACUCGGAAUUACUGGGCGUUAAAGCGUGCGUAGGCGGUUUGUUAAGUCUGACGUGAAAUCCCCGGGCUCAACCUGGGACGUGCGUUGGAAACUGGCGAUCUAGAGUACGGUAGAGGGUGGUGGAAUUCCCGGUGUGGCAGUGAAAUGCGUAGAGAUCGGGAGGAGCACUCGUGGCGAAGGCGGCCACCUGGACCAGUACUGACGCUGAGGCACGAAAGCGUGGGGAGC
Molecule: ribosomal RNA, 248 nt
Filed under: uncultured bacterium
Lineage: Bacteria
Description: partial 16S ribosomal RNA
Rfam family: Bacterial small subunit ribosomal RNA
Source: RNAcentral